ACUUCAGUAGUGCAGAUGGUUGAGCACGCACCCCCGGAAAGGGUGAAAUGCAGGUUUGAUUCUCGCCUGAUGUU
This is a non-coding RNA of Parelaphostrongylus tenuis, 74 nucleotides long. The record is from the annotation of a GenBank genome assembly. NCBI's taxonomy places the organism in Eukaryota, Metazoa, Nematoda, Chromadorea, Rhabditida, Metastrongylidae.